This 491-nucleotide ribosomal RNA is filed under the name uncultured bacterium. Its description in RNAcentral is "partial 16S ribosomal RNA". It matches the Rfam family "Bacterial small subunit ribosomal RNA", at positions 29 to 507 of the family's 1533-position model. The record is from RNAcentral.
AUGAACGCUAGCUACAGGCUUCACCCAUGCAAGUCGCGGGGAAACGACAUCGAAAGCUUGCUUUUGAUGGGCGUCGACCGGCGCACGGGUGAGUAACGCGUAUCCAACCUGCCCAUCACUUGGGAAUAACCUUGCGAAAGUAAGACUAAUACCCAAUGAUAUCCCACGAAGGCAUCGGAAUGGGAUUAAAGAUUUAUCGGUGAUGGAUGGGGAUGCGUCUGAUUAGCUUGUUGGCGGGGUAACGGCCCACCAAGGCAACGAUCAGUAGGGGUUCUGAGAGGAAGGUCCCCCACAUUGGAACUGAGACACGGUCCAAACUCCUACGGGAGGCAGCAGUGAGGAAUAUUGGUCAAUGGGCGAGAGCCUGAACCAGCCAAGUAGCGUGCAGGAAGACGGCCCUAUGGGUUGUAAACUGCUUUUAUAAGGGAAUAAAGUGGGUCACGUGUGACUUUUUGCAUGUACCUUAUGAAUAAGGACCGGCUAAUUCCGUG